Drosophila simulans is the source of this 401-nucleotide long non-coding RNA. RefSeq lists it as uncharacterized. The record is from RefSeq and is a predicted model, not a curated record. Lineage: Eukaryota; Metazoa; Arthropoda; Insecta; Diptera; Drosophilidae. The transcript is spliced from 3 exons.
AUUCGUCAGCGUAAAUGACAUUUUCAGCAGCCACGGAACUCAUGCUCCCCAGAGUCGUCAUCAAAUUGAACUGCAAAUUUAAUUCAUACCGACUGUUUGUUUAUGUCACUGUGUCCGAUUUUUUGAUACUCUUUUCAAAUGCUUUAAAGGCUUAACUAAACAGUAGGAUCAGAUCUUAAAAUCAAGCUCCCGCAUUUAAUUGCAGUAUAAAUGCCUGAAAUGGCAAACACAAAGGAUGUGCGAACCGGGAUGGAAAUCUGGAUGAGAUGCGAUAAUUAUUCAGAAUGGCGCGAAUUUCCAUCACAUUAAAAGUGCAGACAAUGGGGGAUAGUAAAAUGCAGCUAGCGGAUAAUGAAAAUCGUGUUCAAGUGCGGAAAUGCUGAAAAUUAUUUCAAUGAAAC